AGUGAACGCUGGCGGUAGGCCUAACACAUGCAAGUCGAACGGCAGCACAGUAAGAGCUUGCUCUUACGGGUGGCGAGUGGCGGACGGGUGAGGAAUACAUCGGAAUCUACUUUUUCGUGGGGGAUAACGUGGGGAAACUUACGCUAAUACCGCAUACGACCUACGGGUGAAAGCAGGGGAUCUUCGGACCUUGCGCGAUUGAAUGAGCCGAUGUCGGAUUAGCUAGUUGGCGGGGUAAAGGCCCGCCAAGGCGACGAUCCGUAGCUGGUCUGAGAGGAUGAUCAGCCACACUGGAACUGAGACACGGUCCAGACUCCUACGGGAGGCAGCAGUGGGGAAUAUUGGACAAUGGGCGCAAGCCUGAUCCAGCCAUACCGCGUGGGUGAAGAAGGCCUUCGGGUUGUAAAGCCCUUUUGUUGGGAAAGAAAAGCAGCAGGUUAAUACCCCGCUGUUCUGACGGUACCCAAAGAAUAAGCACCGGCUAACUUCGUG
This 492-nucleotide ribosomal RNA is filed under the name uncultured bacterium. Its description in RNAcentral is "partial 16S ribosomal RNA". It matches the Rfam family "Bacterial small subunit ribosomal RNA", at positions 29 to 507 of the family's 1533-position model. The record is from RNAcentral.